Dermacentor albipictus is the source of this 533-nucleotide long non-coding RNA. RefSeq lists it as uncharacterized. Lineage: Eukaryota; Metazoa; Arthropoda; Arachnida; Ixodida; Ixodidae. The record is from RefSeq and is a predicted model, not a curated record.
CCUCCAUGUUUUGCUGCAUUGUGUUAUCUAGACCGUGCACUCCCAGUUGUCGUGUGGUCAGGUGGGAUUGCAAAAAGUAAAAAAAAAAGCGUGAAACAAGCGCGCAUACAACACCAUACACCGCGUAUGAUGCCACGGACGAAGGACGACGUGGGAACGUAUUUCCAUUCGUCGGUGGAUUCACAUAACGUGUCAUCACAUAUUGAAACCGCUGUACUUCAGAAUACCUACGAUAAGCUCCUUGCACAUCAACGACACCUGUGCAGUGUUCCUGCUUCUGAGAGCGGAUGAUACAUUUGUGCAAUCAAAUGAAGGCGCUGCUUCCGUGCCGUGUUUUUACGACAGGUAUUACGUACCACGGAAGUAUACUCCAGGUGCUCUGUUCUGUGCCGAUGGGCCAAAGCCUGGCGGCUAAAACCGUAUCAUUCGUGGUGGAACCAAAUACCAACGUCGAUGCGGAACUCCACGAAAUACAGCUCUGCAGUCCUGCUCAGCACGACAUGAAUAAACAAUAAAUAUUGUUUUAACACGUC